This 534-nucleotide ribosomal RNA is filed under the name Echinodera adriatica. Its description in RNAcentral is "partial 16S ribosomal RNA". It matches the Rfam family "Bacterial large subunit ribosomal RNA", at positions 1825 to 2625 of the family's 2925-position model. Lineage: Eukaryota; Metazoa; Arthropoda; Insecta; Coleoptera; Curculionidae. The record is from RNAcentral.
GGCUUUUUGAUAAUAAUUUAAGGUCUAGCCUGCCCAAUGAUUCAUAUUAAAUGGCCGCGGUAUUUUGACCGUGCAAAGGUAGCAUAAUCAUUAGUUUCUUAAUUGGAAGCUUGUAUGAAAGGUUUGAUGAGAAAAGGACUGUCUCUAUUUGAUUUUUUAAAAAUUUAUUUUUAAGUUAAAAAGCUUAAAUAAGUAUUAAAGACGAGAAGACCCUAUAGAGUUUUAUAUUUUUAUGGAAUUAUUAUAUUUAGGAUUUUUUGAUAAUUUUAUUAAAGUAUUUAGUUGGGGUGAUUAAAAAAUUAAUUAAACUUUUUUAUAAUAAUUCCAUUAAUUUAUGAAUAUUUGAUCCUUGUUGCAAGAUUAAUAGAUGAAAUUACCUUAGGGAUAACAGCGUAAUUUUUUUUAGAGUUCUUAUCGAAGGAAAAGAUUGCGACCUCGAUGUUGGAUUAAAAUUAAUUGUUGGUGAAGAAGCUAAUAAGUGAGGUCUGUUCGACCUUUAAAUUUUUACAUGAUCUGAGUUUAAACCGGUGUGAG